Molecule: ribosomal RNA, 332 nt
Filed under: uncultured eukaryote
Lineage: Eukaryota
Description: partial 18S ribosomal RNA
Rfam family: Eukaryotic small subunit ribosomal RNA
Source: RNAcentral
CCCUUAGAUGUUCUGGGCCGCACGCGCGCUACACUGUUCGACGCAGCGAGUCUUAACCUUGACCGAAAGGUUUGGGUAAUCUUCAGCAAAGUCGAACGUGAUGGGGAUCGAUCAUUGCAAUUAUUGAUCGUGAACGAGGAAUUCCUAGUAAGUGCAAGUCAUCAGCUUGCGCUGAUUACGUCCCUGCCCUUUGUACACACCGCCCGUCGCUACUACCGAUUGAAUGGUUUAGUGAGAUCUCUGGAUUGACGCUGGCUAGGGGGCGACCCUUGGCCAGACUGCUUGAGAAACUGCUCAAACUUGAUCAUUUAGAGGAAGUAAAAGUCGUAACA